GCCUAGCGAUUGUAAAGUUAGUGGCGGACGGGUGAGUAACGCGUGAAUAACCUGCCUUAUACUGGGGGGACAACAGUUGGAAACGACUGCUAAUACCGCAUAAGCGCACUAAAGCUGCAUGGCUCAGUGUGAAAAACUCCGGUGGUAUAAGAUGGAUUCGCGUCUGAUUAGCUAGUUGGUGAGGUAACGGCUCACCAAGGCGACGAUCAGUAGCCGGCCUGAGAGGGUGAACGGCCACAUUGGGACUGAGACACGGCCCAAAACUCCCUACGGGGAGGCAGCAGGUGGGGAAUAUUGCACAAUGGGGGAAACCCUGAUGCAGCGACGCCGCGUGAGUGAAGAAGUAUUUCGGUAUGUAAAGCUCUAUCAGCAAGGAAGAAAAUGACGGUACUUGACUAAGAAGCCCCGGCUAACUACGUG
RNAcentral lists this ribosomal RNA (420 nucleotides) under uncultured bacterium. RNAcentral describes it as "bacterial SSU rRNA". It matches the Rfam family "Bacterial small subunit ribosomal RNA", at positions 61 to 507 of the family's 1533-position model. The record is from RNAcentral.